AAAGAGGACAGUUUUACAUUGUUCAUAUUUAACGUUUAACCAUCCGUUUUAUUUGAAAAAAUUUUAUGAUUAGUAUUUUUGUUGUUAUUUUUAUGUGUGACUAAUUUUUUUUUAAUUUGUAAUAUUUUUUAAAUGAAACGGAUGAUUAAACGUUGAAUACGAAAAUCCACAAGUACACUUAAU
This is a microRNA precursor of Oryza sativa Japonica Group (Japanese rice), 183 nucleotides long. It matches the Rfam family "MIR812 microRNA precursor family". Lineage: Eukaryota; Viridiplantae; Streptophyta; Magnoliopsida; Poales; Poaceae. The record is from Rfam.